This is a long non-coding RNA of Canis lupus familiaris (dog), 1960 nucleotides long. RefSeq lists it as uncharacterized. The record is from RefSeq and is a predicted model, not a curated record. The transcript is spliced from 4 exons. Lineage: Eukaryota; Metazoa; Chordata; Mammalia; Carnivora; Canidae.
GGAGGCCGCAAGAGCAUUCAUGAGUCUGUGGAAAGCUGUCCUGGUGACAUCCUAUUUAUGGCUGUUUGGUCUCAGAUGAAUCACUGUCCCAUGUUCUAGUUUCUCCACUUGUCUGUGACAUGGGGACAAUCCAGGUCGGUCAGGGGGAGACACUUUCCCCCAUUUUCCCACCACACACUGUGUCACACACCACUGUUGCCAUGGCCACCAUCAGCUCUCAUACACUAUGAGCUCAGGAGCUCUGGGCUGAGGGCACAGCACAGAUUAUGCCUGAUUGAAUUCUCACAGCCCUGGGACAUAGGGUUACUGACUCCACUUUACAGAUGGGGAAGCUGAGCUUUAUAGAGCUCAGAUGACAUACCCAAUGCCACCUGCUAGGGAGGGGUGGGUGUAGGGCCCCCCAUGGCUAGGUCAAUCUGGUUCGGGGCUGGCAAACUUUUCCUACAAAAAAGUAAAUAUUUUAGGCUUUGUGGGUGCCAUAUGAUGUCUUGUCCUCUUCCUCCUCCCUCUCUUUAAACUUUGAAGAGUGUCAAAACCAUUCUUAGCUCAUGAGUGGAACACAAACAGGCUGGAUUUGGCUGACAGGCCAUGGCUUCCCGACCCCUCAUAACAGAAUUCACAGAUGACUUCGCCUUCCUCCUCUCAUCUGCAACGUUACUUGAUUUUACAUGGUUGAGAUUAUACGGAAUAUGCACAUUCAUAUCUCCUUUCACUUGACUUUAGUCUAUUUUAUUUACUUAUUCAUGAGAGACAUAGAGAGAAGCAGAGACAGGAGAAGAAGUCUCUAUGCAAGGAGCCCAAUAUAGGACUUGGUCCCAGGACUCCAGGAUUACGCCCUGAGCCGAAGGCAGACGCUCAACCACAGAGUCACCCAGGCAUCCCUUUCAUUUCAAAUAAUGUACUUUUAUACAGGAAGAAUUUUUAGAAUCCUUGUGUAUAAAAGCACAAUUUAUCGAAUUUAUAGGAUCCCAGGAAAAUCCACAGCCUCACUGGAAAUAUUAACUCAGAAAAGCCAGACAAUUUUUAAAUUUAUUAACUGAUCAAUUGCAUUUACUAUGUAAAAUACCUAGUAAAAUCACAGGGCUUGUACUGUCACAUGUAAAACUUGGUGGCAUGGCCUCUGACUUGGGAUUUCCUUAGGUAAUGGUCCUUGUAGUGAAUGGCCCAAUUCUAGGGAUGCUAUGUGGAGUCAGGGGUUGGGGGGCAGCCCCCAGUGUUCUCCUCACUCUGGCGGCCUACCCCCCAUGCCAGGGCGGUUUAUACAGCCCUCCGUGGGGCAGAUCAGGAGUCCCUGCUGCAUUCAACUAUGCUCCCCCUGGGUUGGAGAAAAUAGUCUUUAGUGUUCCAGUCGAGAGUGUCAUAAAAUAGACAUUCCAGUGUCAUUUUAGAAAUAGGCGGUGCUGAGUGUCCUAUCAGUUAUGGCCACAGAAUGCCAGAUGAUUGCAUGACCCUGGUCUGAUGUGACUGUCCUGUUGCAGAGCAAUCAUGUGACUUUCCUUGUGUAAUUUCCUUUGGCCAGAGUGGUGAGUGCUUUCUUUUUUAACCUCUGUGCUAACAAAUGGGAGAGCAGCUCAGAACUUCCUCAGAUACUGAGUAACGCUCUGCAGUUUCAGCUCUGAAGCUACUUUUUAAUAUUAUAUGCAAAUUAAACACCAUGGGGAGUUCAACAAACAUUUAUGGAGUGCUUACUAUGUGCCAUGCUCCGUGCCUAGCACUCUAGGAGACACCAGGAUGAGUUAGGCAUGGUCCUUGUUCUAGGAGAGCGAAGACUGGAGAAGAUAAGGCUUGAAGAUGAACGUGCACGACAAGAUGAGUCCCACUGGAAAUGUCAAGGGGCUCAAAGGCAGGAAAGUGGUUUCUAGUUGGGAAAGUGGGGGAUGAGGGAGUGAGGAAAGGUAAAUCAGCUCCUGGAAGAGUUACAGGUGUAGCCAAAGAAACAAGGACUUUGCAUCAGCUGGAA